AACGAACGCUGGCGGCAUGCCUAAAACAUGCAAGUCGAACGGGUGUAGCAAUACACCAGUGGCAGACGGGUGCGUAACACGUGGGAACCUGCCCAGAGGUUCGGAAUAGCUGCGGGAAACUGCAGGUAAUACCGAAUGUCGCCUGAGGGCUAAAGGAGCAAUCCGCCUUUGGAGGGGCCCGCGUCCGAUUAGCUAGUUGGUGAGGUAACGGCUCACCAAGGCUACGAUCGGUAGCUGGUCUGAGAGGAUGACCAGCCACACUGGAACUGAGAUACGG
Molecule: ribosomal RNA, 277 nt
Filed under: uncultured bacterium
Lineage: Bacteria
Description: partial 16S ribosomal RNA
Rfam family: Bacterial small subunit ribosomal RNA
Source: RNAcentral